GGGGCUGACUGGUUUUGACAGCAAGUUGAAGAGGUAUGUAAGCAUGCCGGGCCUUGAUCGCACAGCCCGUAAAUCUCGGCGUUCAAAACUAUAAUUGGCGAAAAUAACUACGCUCUUGCUGCGUAAUCGAAUUAAGUAGAUUACACUUUAUCCCGGCACCAGGUGUUGGGACGAGACAUCGCCCGGAUGCUAUCUCCCUGAAGCGGUCCGAUCUGGCGGUGCAAGUAAAUCGGGGAUAGUGGAAGUAGUGCUCCGCGACUUCUGCAAAAAUAAAGGAGCUAAGGUAAAAGUCGGUGGCCCUGAUCCAGCUUUUAUUCGAAAAUUAAGUCUGGGGAUAAGCAUGUAGAAAGCAUAUUGCUUCCUUGUUUGGACCCGGGUUCGAUUCCCGGCAGCUCCACCU
This 400-nucleotide transfer-messenger RNA is filed under the name Prolixibacteraceae. RNAcentral's name for it is "GWE2-42-39 sp003506435 Standard tmRNA". It matches the Rfam family "transfer-messenger RNA". From Rfam's summary of the family: Bacterial tmRNA, also known as 10Sa RNA or SsrA, is named for its dual tRNA and mRNA-like properties. Its role is to liberate the mRNA from a stalled ribosome. The record is from RNAcentral. RNAcentral also lists the same sequence under 4 other names. Lineage: Bacteria; Pseudomonadati; Bacteroidota; Bacteroidia; Marinilabiliales.